UCAACUGACACAAGGACAAAUAAAUGUGGCAGAAGGUUCAUAUCCGUCAGAAAAAAAUGCUCCGUUAAUAGAGUACCUUACAUUACCAUUCGCAAGGCGCUCCUUUUCGCAAAUGCAGACGGAAAAAACCUUUAUGGAAGCCUGAUGUUGUCCAAAGAAGGAAGACAGGAUGGAUACCUAUUUUGGAGUGUAUAAGGAGACAAAACCCAUGUCGAUUGCUUGGCUUA
Molecule: long non-coding RNA, 227 nt
Organism: Saccostrea echinata
Lineage: Eukaryota; Metazoa; Mollusca; Bivalvia; Ostreida; Ostreidae
Exons: 3
Source: RefSeq, a predicted model, not a curated record